GUAGGUGGCAAGCGUUGUCCGGAAUUAUUGGGCGUAAAGCGCGCGCAGGCGGUUCUUUUAAGUCUGAUGUGAAAGCCCACGGGCUCAACCGUGGAGGGUCAUUGGAAACUGGAGAACUUGAGUACAGAAGAGGAAAGCGGAAUUCCACGUGUAGCGGUGAAAUGCGUAGAGAUGUGGAGGAACACCAGUGGCGAAGGCGGCUUUCUGGUCUGUAACUGACGCUGAGGCGCGAAAGCGUGGGGAGCAAACAGGAUUAGAUACCCUGGUAGUCCACGCCCGUAAACGAUGAGUGCUAAGUGUUAGGGGGUUUCCGCCCCCUUAGUGCUGCAGCUAACGCAUUAAGCACUCCGCCUGGGGAGUACGGCCGCAAGGCUG
Molecule: ribosomal RNA, 375 nt
Filed under: uncultured organism
Description: partial 16S ribosomal RNA
Rfam family: Bacterial small subunit ribosomal RNA
Source: RNAcentral